Molecule: ribosomal RNA, 207 nt
Filed under: uncultured bacterium
Lineage: Bacteria
Description: partial 16S ribosomal RNA
Rfam family: Bacterial small subunit ribosomal RNA
Source: RNAcentral
UCCGUAGGCGGUUUGGUAAGUCAGUGGUGAAAGCCCAUCGCUCAACGGUGGAACGGCCAUUGAUACUGCCAGACUUGAAUUAUUAGGAAGUAACUAGAAUAUGUAGUGUAGCGGUGAAAUGCUUAGAGAUUACAUGGAAUACCAAUUGCGAAGGCAGGUUACUACUAAUGGAUUGACGCUGAUGGACGAAAGCGUGGGUAGCGAACA